Molecule: ribosomal RNA, 497 nt
Filed under: uncultured bacterium
Lineage: Bacteria
Description: partial 16S ribosomal RNA
Rfam family: Bacterial small subunit ribosomal RNA
Source: RNAcentral
GAUGAACGCUGGCGGCGUGCCUAAUACAUGCAAGUCGAGCGAACAGAUGAGGAGCUUGCUCCUCUGACGUUAGCGGCGGACGGGUGAGUAACACGUGGAUAACCUACCUAUAAGACUGGGAUAACUUCGGGAAACCGGAGCUAAUACCGGAUAAUAUAUUGAACCGCAUGGUUCAAUAGUGAAAGACGGUUUUGCUGUCACUUAUAGAUGGAUCCGCGCCGCAUUAGCUAGUUGGUAAGGUAACGGCUUACCAAGGCAACGAUGCGUAGCCGACCUGGGAGGUGGUGCGGCCACACUGGGACUGGGAGACGGUCCAGACUCGGACGGGAAGCAGCAGUAGGGAAUCUUCCGCAAUGGGCGAAAGCCUGACGGAGCAACGCCGCAUGGGUGAUGAAGGUCUUCGGAUCGUAAAACUCUGUUAUUAGGGAAGAACAAAUGUGUAAGUAACUAUGCACGUCUUGACGGUACCUAAUCAGAAAGCCACGGCUAACUACGUG